RNAcentral lists this long non-coding RNA (281 nucleotides) under Mytilus galloprovincialis (Mediterranean mussel). Lineage: Eukaryota; Metazoa; Mollusca; Bivalvia; Mytilida; Mytilidae. The record is from RNAcentral.
CAUAAAUAAAAAAGAAAAUUUCUUCAAACAUUUUUUUGAGAGGAUUAAUAUUCAACAGCAUAGUGAAUUGCUCUAAGAGAAAACAAAAAUUUUAAGUUCAUUAGAACACAUUCAUUCUGUGUCAGAAACCUAUGCUGUGUGUCAACUAUUUAAUCACAAUCCAAAUUUAGAGCUGAAUCCAGCUUGAAUGUUGUGUCCAUACUUGCCCCAACCGUUCAGGGUUCAACCUCUGCGGUCGUAUAAAACUACGCCCUGCGGAGCAUCUGGUUAUCAUUUAAACU